GAUUCGGUGGCGGAUGGACCGCGCCCGUUAUUCAUGCCAGCCUACAGAUGCGCGAGUUGGCGGGAGGCGCCUGUUCGAAUCAGGCCCGAGUCA
This is a non-coding RNA of Mycena latifolia, 93 nucleotides long. Lineage: Eukaryota; Fungi; Basidiomycota; Agaricomycetes; Agaricales; Mycenaceae. The record is from the annotation of a GenBank genome assembly.